UACACGCACACGCCUACUCACAAAGUGCUCGCACAUAUCCUAGUACCGCUGAAGGAUAUUUCUACCUCGCCUCAGUCUGUCCCCCUUCCUACUCUCGUCCCGCCACCGCUUCCGCAGGCCGCGCACCUUCCUCUAACGGUUCUCCUCUCCCAUCUCUCUUUAGUUUCAUAGUGAUUGCCUGUGCGCCCCCCACGCGACAUCACUGCACGGCGCGCGCGACUUUCCUUUGCGGCUUUCUUCUCUGUAGUACUGUGUGGUGCUCAUUUCCGACUUUCGCCAUCAUGCCGCGGGAGGCCUGCAGUGGACUGUGGAGGUCGGAGGACAUGGUGGUCCUCUCCCUGCACAUGCAGCGCGAGGUGGCCCACGACGCCGUUCUCAAGCUCGGCGAGAUCGGCCAGUUCCAGUUUGAAGACCUAAACAGGGACGUGAGCGCCUUCCAGCGCGACUUUGUGCAGGAAGUGCGCCGCUGCGACGACAUGGAGCGCAAGCUGCGCUUUCUGCAAGAGGAAAUCGAAAAGGCCGGUGUGACCACCAUCGUGGACGGCGGCGCGGAGGGGGAGACGAUGUCGUCGCUUGAGCACAAAAUCGACGAGGUGUACUCUGAGGUGGUGGAGCUCAAUGAGCAGUACCAGGCCCUCAUCGAGGAGCGCAAUCGGUCCAAGGAGCACCUCGAGAUUCUCUCGCGCGACUUUGGCGGUUCAACCGGCGAUGGGGUGUUGAUGGUGACCGGCGUCAUUCCGAAGGAGCGCAUUCCGCUCUUCGAGCGCCUUGUGUACCGUUCCACACGCGGCAACUCUAUCAUGCGCACGGACAAUAUCGAUAAGCCCUUCUACAACAUAAACGCGAACGAGCCUGUGUACAAAAGCGUGUUUGCCGUGUACUUUUCGGCCCCGCGGCUGCGCGAGAGGCUUAUCAAGAUUGCCGAGGCGAACGCGGCGACCGUAUACAGCUACGCCGACUCUGAGCAGCAGCUGACCCGCAUGCACGCCUCCCUGCAGCAGCAGGUGGACACGAUCACCCAGACCCUCAACCAGUCAGCCUACCGCCAGCGGCAGGUGCUGCUCGGCAUUGCGGCUGCCUGCUACGAGUGGCGCCGCGCUGUGGUGACGGAAAAGGCGGUCUUCUCGACCAUGAACAUGCUGAAGUUCUCGGGGUCGACCGCGAUCGCGCGAGGGUGGGCGCCGGUGCGCUCGUGCGAGGACAUCCGCACGGCGAUCGCCGAGGCUGAGUACCUGAGCGGGGCGCAGGUGGCGACGAUUAUUGAGGAGCUGAACACGCAGGAGACGCCGCCGUCGUACUUCAAGACCAACAAGAUCACGGGUUCCUUCCAAAGCAUCGUGGACAGCUACGGUAUGGCCCGCUACAAGGAGGCGAACCCCGGCGUAUUCACGAUCAUCACCUUCCCUUAUCUCUUCGGUGUCAUGUACGGCGACGUCGGCCACGGGAUCAUCCUCACCCUCUUUGCCGCUUUCCUAGUCUUCAAGGAGAAGAGCUUGGAGGGGCAGCCUUUGAACGAGAUCUUCGCCAUGAUCUUCGGCGGCCGCUACUUGCUGUUGCUCAUGGGCUUCUUCGCUGUGUACAUGGGGCUCCUGUACAACGACAUGUUUGGCUUCUCCAUCGAAAUCUUCGCCUCGGGCUACCGCUGGCCGCAGCUGCCACCGGAGGGCCCAGACGGGAUCGUGUACCCGUCCUUCCCCACAGGCCGCCCCAGCGUCAAGCCGGAAUCGCCGGUCAUCUUUGGCAUCGACUCCGCCUGGUCGGAGACGGAGAACAAGCUGGAAUUCUACAACUCCAUCAAGAUGAAGUGCUCCGUCAUUAUUGGUGUGGCGCAGAUGAUGGCUGGCGUGUUCAUUUCUCUGACGAACUACAUCUACUUCAACGACAGCGUCAAGGUGUGGUUCCGCUUCGUUCCGGAGGUGGUGUUUCUGUCGUGCACCUUUGGAUACAUGUGUGUCCUCAUCAUUGUGAAGUGGCUGACCACCUGGGAGAACACGCACGAUGCCCCGUCGCUGCUGGAGACGAUGACGAACUUCUUCCUGGCACCGGGAACCAUCACCCUUCCGCUCUUCUCUGGCCAGGCUGCCCUGCAGGUGAUGCUUCUGCUGGUGUCCUUGGCCUGCGUUCCAUGCAUGCUGUGCGUCAUCCCGUAUGUGGAGAAGAAAGAGCACGACCACAAGAUGCAAGAACGGGCUGCCCACCCGCCUGAGGACGGCGAGGAGGAAGAGGAGGACGACUUCCAGUUCAGCGAGAUCAUCAUCCACCAGAUCAUUCACACGAUCGAGUACGUGCUCGGCUGCGUGUCGAACACCGCCUCGUACCUACGUCUGUGGGCCCUGUCCCUCGCCCACUCGCAGCUGUCGGAGGUGUUCUGGAGCUUCGCCUUCCUCCUCACGGUCGACUACGACAGCGGCACCGGAAUCUGCAUCUUCUUUGGCUUCGCCGUGUGGAUGGCGGCGACGAUCGGCGUGCUGCUCGGCAUGGAGUCCCUGUCCGCCUUCCUGCACGCGCUGCGUCUUCAUUGGGUGGAGUUCAACAACAAGUUCUACGCCGCUGACGGCCACGCGUUCGAGCCGUUCGACCUCGCGGAGUCGCUGAGCAAGCUGCGAUAAGCACCUUCACCGACACCAGCACCCGGCGGCCGUGCAGAACGUGUGGAUGGGGUGGAGCGCAAAGGUGGCUCGCUUGUACCCACUUCUUCGGCGACUUCGGUGUGCGGCGCAUAAAUGGAGCGAGAGAGGAGGCUUGCAGGACCAUCGCGGUGCUGUAUUUUUUCUUUCGAUUGCAUCCGUGUGCUCGCGACGACUCAAGCGGCGUGGCCUCUUCGCCACUUCUCUCUCUGUUUGUGUGUGUGUGUGUCUGUGCCUUGUCGUGGGCGAGUGGAUGUGUGGCGUGAGUUUGCUUUUGCGUUCAUUCGCUGUGUUCCCUAAGGCGCAAGAGUUGUGAAAACGAAAGCAGAGGAAGCAGGCAAACGGACCGGAUGGCGCACUACCGUGGGCCCACCAGAUACGAUGGCGUGGGCAGUCGCGAUGAAGGCUGGUCGGGGGAAGGGCACACAGCGCCGCUGGAUGUUUUUGAGGCCUGCGUGUGCCCCUUCCUCCUCCCCUUCGCCACCCGAAGCUCGGCGACGCUCGCGGUUCUGUCGAGGCGCACACUCAGGAAGCAGCAGCAGAGCGUGGAUCACUUCUCGGGUACACUACAUCCGCUCGGGUGAAGGAGGGUGCCGAAGAGCAGAGGCGCUCGCUUUGGUCGUGCCACCAGCGGAUUCCACGGAACGGCGCCUUUGGAGCAGCGCGUGGAGGUAGGUUUGUGUGUGUGUGUGCACGGCACGUAUAUUCGCCGCACUCGACAUUAUCCGCUGCUCUACCUCUCUGUCUAUGAUAGUCGCUUCUCCUUCGUGUCCCCAACGCCGCGGCUGCGGGGCGCGGUGGACACGUUGGCCCUCUUAGCCGCACGCAUACUUGCGCACUCGCACAAGUGUUUGGACGCGUGCUCACUGCUCACACUCCCACUUUUUCCCUCUCCUGCCGUGCCACUAUCGUCGCCUCCUUCUUCCGUCAG
This 3558-nucleotide unclassified non-coding RNA is filed under the name Leishmania donovani. RNAcentral describes it as "gene:LdHU3.23.2510(CDS-product:vacuolar_proton_tr anslocating_ATPase_subunit_A_putative)". The record is from RNAcentral. Lineage: Eukaryota; Euglenozoa; Kinetoplastea; Trypanosomatida; Trypanosomatidae.